UCUCCUCCACACAUUGCAGGCGAGAACGUGCGCGGGAGUAAUACAUACACGCGCACAUUGCCUUUAGCUACCGCUGUAGUAGUGAUCUGGCUGGAAGGCAGCCGCGCGCGCGGCAGGGGAAGCUAACUACUGACUGACAUCGCAAGGGGAGGGGGGAGAGAUACCGGCCGACCGACGGGGAGUAGGAGUGACCGAGAUGCUGGACUGGGCGCCGGUGGUGGUGGGGGUGGUGCUCUUCGUGCUGCUCUCGCCGGGCCUGCUCAUCGAGUUCCCCGGCACAACCCGGUGGGUCGACUUCGGCAGCCUCCGCGUCACCGGCAAGGCCGCCACCAUCCACACCCUCGUCUUCUUCACCCUCUUCGCCAUCAUCACCAUGGCAUGCAACCUCCACAUCUACGCCUAGACACGCCCAACCAGCAGCUAGCUGAUGAUCGUCGCGUCUACCUCUUCAUCGUCAUCGAUUCAUCACUACCGAACCAGUGUAUACUGUACAGUACCGCACUCUGCUCGGCUCAGUUGACGGCCGGGCAUCUGGUUAUGCGUAAAGCAUCUGUUCAUCUGUAAUCUGGUUGCUUUUACAAAGGGUGUGUAUUGUCAGAUAUACGGGCUUCGCUCGUAUAAAUAUUCUGAAUAAAUCUCUAAGAUCCAUUAGCGU
RNAcentral lists this long non-coding RNA (655 nucleotides) under Setaria viridis. Its description in RNAcentral is "long non-coding RNA (SVIR_LNC008252)". Lineage: Eukaryota; Viridiplantae; Streptophyta; Magnoliopsida; Poales; Poaceae. The record is from RNAcentral.